Chroicocephalus ridibundus (black-headed gull) is the source of this 1216-nucleotide long non-coding RNA. RefSeq lists it as uncharacterized. The record is from RefSeq and is a predicted model, not a curated record. Lineage: Eukaryota; Metazoa; Chordata; Aves; Charadriiformes; Laridae. The transcript is spliced from 3 exons.
UUUAUUUCCAAUUUCUCCUUAAUUGAGGUCAUAGGAAUUUUGGUGUUCAGAGAAUGUAUGUGUAUAUGUAAAGAUAUUCUGAAUUUGCUACCUUAGAAAAAUAAGGACUAUUAAAAUCUAACUUGAUCUGUGUUUGUUUUCAGUGGCCUUACACGAAGGACAACAACAAGACCAUCUAUGCUGCUCAUUUAACUUCGACAAGUCAGAUUCAGUGAGUCAUAGUACUUGUAUUAGCGAGAUUUUGCAUUUAGCAUUCACAUAAAAUGUCAUCUUUGUGCAUAAGAUGCUUUCUUCAGAUUCCCAGACAAGAUCUGCUGUCCCUUUGUUUACAUUACUUUCCAUACAAUUCGUCCUUUCCGUAACAGCACAUUCACACAACGCUGUAACUGUGUGCUUCCGUGGGCGUUGCUGGGCUAUUCUAGGAAAUCUGAGAGGAAAGACCAAGGUUUAAACAACCAUAGUCAUCCUAAAAUCACAAUUCUGGCAUUUAAUUGUGAACAUGUGGUUCUGUUUUGGGCUGGUGCACAGCACAGCGCUACAGCAAGAGCUGCUCAGGCCCCGUGGCCUUUGACAAACUGGUAGGCAUCGUGUCAGUGUAAAACUUUACCCUGGAGAUUCACUGAAAAGCGGAACAAUGUUUAAAGUCUACCUUGAUGUAAAACAGAAAUGAUUAAAUGUUGCAUAAAGUUUGGAGAUGACUGCCUUCGAUAUUAAGAAGGAAGCAUUUUCCUACACACCCUGAAGAAUAUUGAAUAAUUAAUUGGGCUAUUGCAUUAUCCUCUAUGUGAAAUCAUUUGGAGGGAGUAAUUACCAGAACCAGGAUGCUUCAGGCCUCUUAUUCAAUAACAACCCUUAGAAAUUAGAUGUCACCCAUCUCAUUUUUCUGUCUGCUUCUAGAAAGGAAUGAGUGGUGGGCCAUGCUACAGGAGUGACCAUGAAUGUCUCACUAACAAACAGGGGAGAUAACUCGUACAAGACAACUAUGGUCUUGAACUAUCCUGGAAGCCUACUUUUUAAGAAGGUGACUGUUGAGGCAUAAAUGAAAAUAGCACCAUUCUGGCUGAAGAACAUGUCCUUGAUGUCAGAUAUGCAUUCGCCGCAGUCCUUACCAAAUAAAUGGAGACUCGCUUUGACGCUACCAUCAAGCUACAGAUUUGGGCUCCUAUCGGUAUACAAGGUCGCAACAGAACAGUGGUCAAAAAUGCAUCAGGAACAC